GCCGGGCGAGGUGGCGCAUGCCUGUAAUCCCAGCUACCCAGGAGGCUGAGGCAGGAGGAUCGCUUGAGUCCAGGAGUUCUGGGCUGUAGUGCGCUCUGCCGAUCGGGUGUCCACACUAAGUUCGGCAUCAAUAUGGUGACUUCCUGGGAGCGAGGGACCACCAGGUUGCCUAAGGAAGGGUGAACCGACCCAGGUCGGAAACGGAGCAGGUCAUAAAUAAUUUUUUCUUUUUAAGUUUUUGCCAUAGAACGUGUGCACUCUCCAGAGAGCGAUAGAGAGAGAGA
This 284-nucleotide signal recognition particle RNA is filed under the name Tupaia belangeri chinensis (Chinese tree shrew). RNAcentral's name for it is "Tupaia chinensis (Chinese tree shrew) Metazoan signal recognition particle RNA". It matches the Rfam family "Metazoan signal recognition particle RNA". Rfam says of the family: The signal recognition particle (SRP) is a universally conserved ribonucleoprotein. Lineage: Eukaryota; Metazoa; Chordata; Mammalia; Scandentia; Tupaiidae. The record is from Rfam by way of RNAcentral.